GACAGAGGUGCCGAGCGUUAGGCGGAAUCACUGGGCUUAAAGCGUGUGUAGGCGGGCCGUUAAGUGCCCCGUGAAAGCCCCCGGCUCAACCGGGGAAUGGCUCCCGAUACUGGUUGGCUCGAGGACGGUAGGGGUGAGUGGAACUCCAGGUGGAGCGGUGAAAUGCGUAGAUAUCUGGAGGAACACCGGUGGCGAAAGCGGCUCACUGGACCGUCUCUGACGCUGAGGUGCGAAAGCCAGGGUAGCGAACGGG
This 253-nucleotide ribosomal RNA is filed under the name uncultured bacterium. Its description in RNAcentral is "partial 16S ribosomal RNA". It matches the Rfam family "Bacterial small subunit ribosomal RNA", at positions 524 to 776 of the family's 1533-position model. The record is from RNAcentral.